This is a non-coding RNA of Pediculus humanus corporis (human body louse), 197 nucleotides long. NCBI's taxonomy places the organism in Eukaryota, Metazoa, Arthropoda, Insecta, Psocodea, Pediculidae. The record is from Rfam.
GCCGGGAGUGGUGGUGCGCUCCUGUAAUCCAACUACUUGGAGGCUAGGUACAGAGGAUGUUUUAAGGACGAGGGUUUUGGAAUUGAAUUUCCCCUGUUGGGGAUAAAUCUUUAACUUGGAUGCCUUGGGAAGCCCGAGGUAGCCAGGUUGAGAGUUCAAUUUCAAAUUGUCCUAAACAAGAACAGACCUGUACCACA